UAAUACGGAGGGUGCAAGCGUUAUCCGGAUUCACUGGGUUUAAAGGGUGCGUAGGCGGGCAGGUAAGUCAGUGGUGAAAUCUCCGGGCUUAACCCGGAAACUGCCGUUGAUACUAUCUGUCUUGAAUAUCGUGGAGGUAAGCGGAAUAUGUCAUGUAGCGGUGAAAUGCUUAGAUAUGACAUAGAACACCCAUUGCGAAGGCAGCUUACUACACGAUCAUUGACGCUGAGGCACGAAAGCGUGGGGAGCAAACAGGAUUAGAUACCCUGGUAGUCCACGCCCUAAACGAUGGAUACUCGACAUCAGCGAUACACUGUUGGUGUCUGAGCGAAAGCAUUAAGUAUCCCACCUGGGAAGUACGACCGCAAGGUUG
This 373-nucleotide ribosomal RNA is filed under the name uncultured bacterium. Its description in RNAcentral is "bacterial SSU rRNA". It matches the Rfam family "Bacterial small subunit ribosomal RNA", at positions 521 to 896 of the family's 1533-position model. The record is from RNAcentral.